GACGAACGCUGGCGGCGUGCCUAAUACAUGCAAGUCGAGCGAAUCAAUAGGAGCUUGCUCCUGAUGGUUAGCGGCGGACGGGUGAGUAACACGUGGGCAACCUGCCUGUAAGACUGGGAUAACACCGGGAAACCGGUGCUAAUACCGGAUAAUCCUUUUCCUCUCAUGAGGAAAAGCUGAAAGUCGGUUUCGGCUGACACUUACAGAUGGGCCCGCGGCGCAUUAGCUAGUUGGUGAGGUAACGGCUCACCAAGGCGACGAUGCGUAGCCGACCUGAGAGGGUGAUCGGCCACACUGGGACUGAGACACGGCCCAGACUCCUACGGGAGGCAGCAGUAGGGAAUCUUCCACAAUGGACGAAAGUCUGAUGGAGCAACGCCGCGUGAGCGAUGAAGGCCUUCGGGUCGUAAAGCUCUGUUGUUAGGGAAGAACAAGUACCGGAGUAACUGCCGGUACCUUGACGGUACCUAACCAGAAAGCCACGGCUAACUACGUGCCAGCAGCCGCGGUAA
RNAcentral lists this ribosomal RNA (512 nucleotides) under uncultured bacterium. Its description in RNAcentral is "partial 16S ribosomal RNA". It matches the Rfam family "Bacterial small subunit ribosomal RNA", at positions 28 to 523 of the family's 1533-position model. The record is from RNAcentral.